This 875-nucleotide long non-coding RNA is filed under the name Cucumis sativus (cucumber). RNAcentral describes it as "long non-coding RNA (CSAT_LNC001204)". The record is from RNAcentral. Lineage: Eukaryota; Viridiplantae; Streptophyta; Magnoliopsida; Cucurbitales; Cucurbitaceae.
GAGAAUGACCACAAGUGCAACGAUGAACGCAAAAUCCACAUUCGGCUGAACCGUCACUCCAAACGUAUCCUUAUCCAACACAAUGCUCUGUAAACUGUGUUCCUUGUGCAUGUGGGCGACCACAGAAGACCCAUCCCCAAGAAAGAUAGUGCAGGCUCUCUCCAUCCAGCUUCCUUUUAUCUUAAAAUCGCACCCGCUGUCCGAUCCGUUUGUGGCUAAUAUCACAUCUAAGUGUGUCUUAAAUUGUAAAAUCGACGAUUUCUUCACCGUGAAUAACAGAUCUUUUGAAUCUCUGCUCUCCCCUCUAUACGCAUACCAUUUUCUAUGCGCUGAAAACAGCUGUGUUGUUGUUGUUGUUGUUGUGUGUGUGUAUACACAAAACAUAAUUCAAUUAAUUAACUGAUCACAUACAUAUAUUAUAAAUACAGAUCUAUAAUGAAUUGAUUUACCUUUUGUUGAAAGGUGAUUACGGGGUUGUCAGCGGCGUCAAGAAGAACGCGGCGAUCGUGGAGGCUGAACACCGACCCUUUCACCUUGAACAUCAAGGUGCCGUUAACGUCAGUAACCGCGAACGAACCUUCCUUCAUGGUCAUCACCUUCUUCGUGAUUCUCAGAUCCACGGGAUAAGGAGCGAUAUACUGAGAGCCUAACACCGUCAAGGGACUGGCCAACGCAGCGUAUGUGGUCUGUGCGGGUAGCUGAAUCGUCGUGGGAUCGGCCAUUAAUGGAUGAAUUUGAUUGGAGAUGGGAAGAAAAUUUAGUUAAGAUGAGGAAAUGAGGGGAUGUUGGGAUUUUCCCUUGGGUUGUAUCGAAGACGUGUAAUUGGGUACCUCUGCAGUAUGGUAUAUAUAUAUAUGUAAUCCGUGUGCCAAUAC